This is a long non-coding RNA of Callithrix jacchus (white-tufted-ear marmoset), 1637 nucleotides long. Lineage: Eukaryota; Metazoa; Chordata; Mammalia; Primates; Cebidae. The record is from Ensembl.
ACAUAUGGUGUAUUACCUCUCUGUUACACAUACACACACACAUGUAUUUACUUAAUAUUUCCUUUUUCUUUUUUUUGAGACAAGGUCUCACUCUGUCACCCUCACUGGAAUGCAGUGGUGUGAUCAUGGCUCACUGCAGCAGCUUCGACCUCUUGGGCUCAGGGGAUCCUCUCACCUUAGACUCCCUAGUAGCUGGGACUACAGGUGUGCACCACCACACUCAGGACUCAAGAUGGCGCUGUGAGAACAACCCAGGAUUGGAGCUCUUCUCGUUGAAUCUGCAAACGGGUCAGCUGGACAGACCGGCAGGUGGUGCGCCCUGUGAGUAACGCGGCAACAGAUCGCGAUGGGAAUUCCCGAAAACGAAGUGACUGCGCAGUCUUUCUUCCGAGUGAUGCUCUCUGCUCUGGUGUGGUCAUGUUCUGUCAGGAAGACACAGGGAAGCAGAUGGCAGUUUCCCUGUUCAGCAGUGAUGAGGACUUCCUGGAAUUGCUGAAGUUAUAUACAUCACAAGCAGGGCUUUGGGGAUCCUACUACACGUUCUUUAGUGUCAUUAUUGCCUUCUCGUAGUGUGACUUUUCUGUAAAUGAUAAUACCAAUUUUGCACACAUUCUUCAAAAUAUGAGGGUAAAUUCUAUUGUUUUGCUUCUGUCAUCUCCUUCCCCCUAGUUUUCCUUCAAAUGUAAGUUCUUUAUCAACAUACUAAUUUCUGAAAGACUGCUAAAGUCAUAUUCCUACUUGUGGCUUUGGUGGAACUCAUUAUGGGGAGGGCUCCCACAGGUGUUGAGUAUGUUAUCUGAAAGGACUGGAAGCAUGUGGGCUGCAUCUUCAACCAAUAGCAGAAAAGUUUGCAUGCCAAGUGCCGUUCUGUUGUCCAUUCCUGUCAUGUGAAUCUGGUUCCUCAUUUGAUUCUUAAUUACCUUUGUGUGAAAGUCCUCCUUGUACCGGUAAAUGAGCAUAUGAUAAACAACAAUAAAAUGUUUUUUAAUUAGUUUGAAGUGUAAAUUUACUAUUGAUUUGUAUCUUAUAGCUGAUGGAAUGCUCUUAACAUUUCUCCAGACUUUAAAAAAAUUUAAUUUAUAGCCUAUUCGUGUUUUCAGCUCAGUCCAUGGUUUUCUAUUUAUUUUUAUUUUUGUAGAGAUGAGGUCUCACUAUGUUGCCCAGGCUGGUCUCAAAGUCCUGGCCUUAAGUGAUCCUGCCACCUCUGCCUCCCGAAGUACCGGGAUUACAGGUGUGAGCCACUGCAUCUGGCUAUUUAAAAAACAUUUCUCUGCAGAAUUCUGUAGUUUCAUCUGAAGGCCUUAGGUACCAGGCUCAAGAAGGAGGUGAUCAUUGAUUGGUUAAUUCAUUCAUCUGCAAACAAAUAUUUAUUGAGCACCUCUUGUAUCCAGGUGCUUUUGUAGGAACCUAGAAUACAGUGCUGACCGAGGUACCUGGUCUUUUUUCUCUUGGAACUUACACUGCCAUAGGGAGAUAGAUAAUAUGCAACAGGAUUAAGUGAUAUGCCCGCAAGGCACUUACCACAGGGCCUGGUACAUAAGUGCUCAAUAGAUAUUGUUAUUAUUAUUUAUUGUGGAUACUGCUGUUAUCAGAUGGGUGCAGUUAGAUUGUCCCUUUUGACAUUCACAAUGUUGCCU